Molecule: transfer RNA, 69 nt
Filed under: Leptopelis vermiculatus (vermiculated tree frog)
Lineage: Eukaryota; Metazoa; Chordata; Amphibia; Anura; Arthroleptidae
Description: tRNA-His
Rfam family: tRNA
About the family: Transfer RNA (tRNA) molecules are approximately 80 nucleotides in length.
Source: RNAcentral
GUGAAUAUAGUUUAAAUAAAAUACUAGGUUGUGGUCCUAGAAAUAAUAGCUAAUAUCUAUUUAUUCACC